UGCAGUCAAAUAAAUAUAAUAUACUAGAGUAUUAAAAAGCAUGAAUUCUACGUUCCGUUUAUUUUCAGAUUAAGCCAUGGUGAUGAAAAAAGUACUAAUAGUAUAGUAUAAUGAUUGAGUACCAUUCUUGCAUUCAUAUCACUAAUAUAAACGUACAUUGCUUAUUGUCUCAAAUAAAUACUGAAAUUGAUUCCAAUAAUCUCUUGAAUGUUCUGAAUGGAUUUAAACUGAACUCGAGAGAUGAGCAAUUCGCAAGUCAAAACUAUAUUUUGUGGGCGGGUUUAGAUGCUCAGAAUGGUGUUAAAACAAAGGUCAUAAUAACAUGUAACUAAUGUUUGAAAUGAAAAGCAAUAUUUUGUCACCAUGCUUUGUUGCAAUAUCAAUAUUAACUUAUAAUCUUAUUAUAAAAAAAAAUAUAAAACUGUUCGUGUUUUUUCUUUUCCUUUCUUUUCUCAGGCUGAUUAUUUUCUGAUAUGUUCUGAUUUUUUGUUAUUUAUGAUUGAAUUAUCUCCGUUCGUCUGUUAACUACAGAAACGGUUAUAUUGUUCGAUUCAUAAAAAAAUGUGUAGGUUUUUCAUAUUUCAUUUUAGUGAUUGAUAUUUUCGAAAAAUAGUAAAUUUGCCCGAAAUGAAAGGUGCAGUUUUGCUUUACAAUGCGUGAAUUUCAGUGGACGGAGCAUAGUCACGAAUUGAAAAAAACUUUGAAUAAUAAAUUCACCAAAAUUAAUUCGUUUGAACAAUUCAAAGUUGCUUAUAACUAUAGUUCACAAUGAAGCAAAUCCUAACACUAAGAAUAUUAAUCAAUCUAUCACACAUUUU
RNAcentral lists this long non-coding RNA (818 nucleotides) under Mytilus galloprovincialis (Mediterranean mussel). Lineage: Eukaryota; Metazoa; Mollusca; Bivalvia; Mytilida; Mytilidae. The record is from RNAcentral.